AUGGUUUGGACAAUAAAUAAAUGUUAUGAAAACAAUAGGUUUGAAAAGCUCAAUGCAAGCAGAAGUGCGCCAACUGUUUUGAUCAGGUGUCCGCGGCAGCGACACCGAACACACCUCCUUCCACAACCGAAAGAGAAAGUUGGAAGUCAAAAUAGUGAAGCGAUCUCAAACGACCUUUCACAUCGAUCCGCAGCAUUACAGCACUGCAGACAUCAGGGACUGGUACAACUAAAAAUUAUGGAUGCAAGCAGAGAUGACAUGGAGGAAGAGGAGGAGAGUGACGAGUUUCUGCUGCUUGAAGAAUACUGCGCUCGGCAGGAGAAGCUCAGGUUACGUCGUUCUGGCGUUGGCGUAGGCAAACCAUACCUACAAUCUGGCUGGCAUUCAAAAGGCACAGGCUUGAAACGAUCAUCAAUUUCAUCAGAUUUGGUGGAGAAACUCGUGGUGUUGUUGAAAAAAGAAGGAGACGACAUGAAUCAGAAGAUCCAGCAGAACGAGGUGCUGCAGCAGCAGCUCCAGGGAGCCUUCAGCUACUCCCUGUUUCAGAGGUUGGUGGCCGCACUGCAGGGGGCCCGCCCUGUGGGCUCAGCGGCCCCGGGCGGGCCCCCUGCCCCCCCGGCCCCCCCGCCCCCCCCGCCCCCCCCGCCCCCCCCCGGCCCCCCCGGCCCCCCCGGCCUCUGA
RNAcentral lists this long non-coding RNA (681 nucleotides) under Gadus morhua (Atlantic cod). RNAcentral's name for it is "lncRNA (ENSGMOG00000030847.1)". Lineage: Eukaryota; Metazoa; Chordata; Actinopteri; Gadiformes; Gadidae. The record is from RNAcentral.